GACAAUUUGUCCGAGUGGUUAAGGAGAAAGACUAGAAAUCUUUUGGGCUCUGCCCGCGCAGGUUCAAAUCCUGCAGUUGUCG
RNAcentral lists this transfer RNA (82 nucleotides) under Brettanomyces nanus. It matches the Rfam family "tRNA". Rfam says of the family: Transfer RNA (tRNA) molecules are approximately 80 nucleotides in length. Their secondary structure includes four short double-helical elements and three loops (D, anti-codon, and T loops). Further hydrogen bonds mediate the characteristic L-shaped molecular structure. tRNAs have two regions of fundamental functional importance: the anti-codon, which is responsible for specific mRNA codon recognition, and the 3' end, to which the tRNAs corresponding amino acid is attached (by aminoacyl-tRNA synthetases). tRNAs cope with the degeneracy of the genetic code in two manners: having more than one tRNA (with a specific anti-codon) for a particular amino acid; and 'wobble' base-pairing, i.e. permitting non-standard base-pairing at the 3rd anti-codon position. The record is from Rfam by way of RNAcentral. Lineage: Eukaryota; Fungi; Ascomycota; Pichiomycetes; Pichiales; Pichiaceae.